This 979-nucleotide ribosomal RNA is filed under the name Salmonella enterica subsp. enterica serovar Typhimurium. Its description in RNAcentral is "partial 23S ribosomal RNA". It matches the Rfam family "Bacterial large subunit ribosomal RNA", at positions 689 to 1582 of the family's 2925-position model. The record is from RNAcentral. Lineage: Bacteria; Pseudomonadati; Pseudomonadota; Gammaproteobacteria; Enterobacterales; Enterobacteriaceae.
UGGGCGUUAAGUUGCAGGGUAUAGACCCGAAACCCGGUGAUCUAGCCAUGGGCAGGUUGAAGGUUGGGUAACACUAACUGGAGGACCGAACCGACUAAUGUUGAAAAAUUAGCGGAUGACCUGUGGCUGGGGGUGAAAGGCCAAUCAAACCGGGAGAUAGCUGGUUCUCCCCGAAAGCUAUUUAGGUAGCGCCUCGUGAAUUCAUCUCCGGGGGUAGAGCACUGUUUCGGCUAGGGGGCCAUCCCGGCUUACCAACCCGAUGCAAACUGCGAAUACCGGAGAAUGUUAUCACGGGAGACACACGGCGGGUGCUAACGUCCGUCGUGAAGAGGGAAACAACCCAGACCGCCAGCUAAGGUCCCAAAGUCAUGGUUAAGUGGGAAACGAUGUGGGAAGGCCCAGACAGCCAGGAUGUUGGCUUAGAAGCAGCCAUCAUUUAAAGAAAGCGUAAUAGCUCACUGGUCGAGUCGGCCUGCGCGGAAGAUGUAACGGGGCUAAACCAUGCACCGAAGCUGCGGCAGCGAACGUAUCACCCAAGACAACUUUACGGAGUUGACGAUUGACGGAGCGAAGCGACGUCAAAGCGUUCAUUAAAGUCGAGUUGGCUUAGGGAUACGUUCGUUGGGUAGGGGAGCGUUCUGUAAGCCUGUGAAGGUGUGUCGUGAGGCAUGCUGGAGGUAUCAGAAGUGCGAAUGCUGACAUAAGUAACGAUAAAGCGGGUGAAAAGCCCGCUCGCCGGAAGACCAAGGGUUCCUGUCCAACGUUAAUCGGGGCAGGGUGAGUCGACCCCUAAGGCGAGGCCGAAAGGCGUAGUCGAUGGGAAACGGGUUAAUAUUCCCGUACUUGGUGUUACUGCGAAGGGGGGACGGAGAAGGCUAUGUUGGCCGGGCGACGGUUGUCCCGGUUUAAGCGUGUAGGUGUGUGUUCCAGGUAAAUCCGGUUCACUUUAACACUGAGGCGUGACGACGAGGCACUACGG